GUGGGGAAUCUUGCGCAAUGGGCGAAAGCCUGACGCAGCCAUGCCGCGUGAAUGAUGAAGGUCUUAGGAUUGUAAAAUUCUUUCACCGGGGACGAUAAUGACGGUACCCGGAGAAGAAGCUCCGGCUAACUUCGUGCCAGCAGCCGCGGUAAUACGAAGGGGGCUAGCGUUGCUCGGAAUUACUGGGCGUAAAGGGCGCGUAGGCGGACAGCUUAGUCAGAGGUGAAAGCCCAGGGCUCAACCUUGGAAUUGCCUUUGAUACUGGCUGUCUUGAGUUUGGGAGAGGUGAGUGGAACUCCGAGUGUAGAGGUGAAAUUCGUAGAUAUUCGGAAGAACACCAGUGGCGAAGGCGACUCACUGACCCAAUACUGACGCUGAGGCGCGAAAGCGUGGGGAGCAAACAGGAUUAGAAACCCGGGUAGUCC
This 425-nucleotide ribosomal RNA is filed under the name uncultured bacterium. Its description in RNAcentral is "partial 16S ribosomal RNA". It matches the Rfam family "Bacterial small subunit ribosomal RNA", at positions 354 to 796 of the family's 1533-position model. The record is from RNAcentral.